This 1528-nucleotide ribosomal RNA is filed under the name human gut metagenome. RNAcentral's name for it is "bacterial LSU rRNA". It matches the Rfam family "Bacterial large subunit ribosomal RNA", at positions 1326 to 2925 of the family's 2925-position model. The record is from RNAcentral.
AAUCAUAAUGGCCGAAAAUCUAAGGUUUCUUGGGGAAGGUUCGUCCGCCCAAGGUUAGUCGGGAGCUAAGCUCAGGCCGAAAGGCGUAGGCGAUGCACAUACGGUAGAAAUUCCGUAACCACCGAACAUUUAAGCUAGAGGGACGCUUUCUUUAAGGUUAUCCCGGGCGAUGGUUGCCCCGGGCGUAAGGGACCGAAAUAUAGUAGGGAAGUAACUGGCGAGAGAGACGAGAAAAGCUCUAGUGUAUACUAAGGUGCCCGUACCGCAAACCGACACAGGUAGAUGGGAUGAGUAUUCUAAGGCCAACGGGAGAAGGGUUGUUAAGGAACUCGGCAAAUUGGCCCCGUAACUUCGGGAUAAGGGGCGCCUGCGAGAGCAGGCCGCAGUGAAAAGGCCCAAGCGACUGUUUAGCAAAAACACAGCUCUCUGCUAAAUCGAAAGAUGACGUAUAGGGGGUGACGCCUGCCCGGUGCUGGAAGGUUAAGGGGAGUGCUUAGCGCAAGCGAAGGUGCGAACUUAAGCCCCAGUAAACGGCGGCCGUAACUAUAACGGUCCUAAGGUAGCGAAAUUCCUUGUCAGGUAAGUUCUGACCCGCACGAAUGGCGUAACGAUUUGGGCACUGUCUCAACAGCCCGCCCGGCGAAAUUGUAGUACCGGUGAAGAUGCCGGUUUCCCGCAACUAGACGGAAAGACCCCAUGGAGCUUCACUGUAGCUUGAUAUUGGAUCUCGGUAUUCCAUGUACAGGAUAGGUGGGAGGCUAGGAAGUAAGCGCGCCAGCGUUUAUGGAGCCAACCUUGGGAUACCACUCUUGGGAUAUUGGGAUUCUAACCUGCGACCAUGAAUCUGGUCGGGGGACACUGUCAGGUGGGCAGUUUGACUGGGGCGGUCGCCUCCAAAAGAGUAACGGAGGCGCUCAAAGGUUCGUUCAGCACGGAUGGAAAUCGUGCACUGAGUGUAAACGCAUAAACGAGCCUAACUGCGAGAAUGACGGUUCGAGCAGUAACGAAAGUUGGAGUUAGUGAUCCGGCGGUAUGUGAAUGGAAAUGCCGUCGCUCAACGGAUAAAAGCUACCCUGGGGAUAACAGGCUGAUCUCCCCCAAGAGUCCACAUCGACGGGGAGGUUUGGCACCUCGAUGUCGGCUCAUCGCAUCCUGGGGCUGAAUUCGGUCCCAAGGGUUUGGCUGUUCGCCAAUUAAAGCGGUACGCGAGCUGGGUUCAGAACGUCGUGAGACAGUUCGGUCCCUAUCUGUUGCGGGCGCAGGAAUAUUGAGAGGAGCUGUCCUUAGUACGAGAGGACCGGGAUGGACGUACCGCUGGUGCACCAGUUGUUCUGCCAAGGGCAUAGCUGGGUAGCUAAGUACGGACGAGAUAAACGCUGAAGGCAUCUAAGCGUGAAACUCCCCUCGAGAUAAGUGUUCCCAUCCUUCGGGAGUAAGGCCCCUUGUAGACUACAAGGUUGAUAGGUCAGGAGUGGAAGUGCAGUAAUGUAUGGAGCGGACUGAUACUAAUAGGCCGAGGGCUUGACCU